This 1506-nucleotide ribosomal RNA is filed under the name metagenome. Its description in RNAcentral is "bacterial SSU rRNA". It matches the Rfam family "Bacterial small subunit ribosomal RNA". The record is from RNAcentral.
AGAGUUUGAUCCUGGCUCAGGACGAACGCUGGCGGCGUGCCUAAUACAUGCAAGUAGAACGCUGAAGAGAGGAGCUUGCUCUUCUUGGAUGAGUUGCGAACGGGUGAGUAACGCGUAGGUAACCUGCCUUGUAGCGGGGGAUAACUAUUGGAAACGAUAGCUAAUACCGCAUAACAAUGGAUGACACAUGUCAUUUAUUUGAAAGGGGCAAUUGUUCCACUACAAGAUGGACCUGCGUUGUAUUAGCUAGUAGGUGAGGUAAUGGCUCACCUAGGCGACGAUACAUAGCCGACCUGAGAGGGUGAUCGGCCACACUGGGACUGAGACACGGCCCAGACUCCUACGGGAGGCAGCAGUAGGGAAUCUUCGGCAAUGGGGGCAACCCUGACCGAGCAACGCCGCGUGAGUGAAGAAGGUUUUCGGAUCGUAAAGCUCUGUUGUAAGUCAAGAACGGGUGUGAGAGUGGAAAGUUCACACUGUGACGGUAGCUUACCAGAAAGGGACGGCUAACUACGUGCCAGCAGCCGCGGUAAUACGUAGGUCCCGAGCGUUGUCCGGAUUUAUUGGGCGUAAAGCGAGCGCAGGCGGUUUGAUAAGUCUGAAGUUAAAGGCUGUGGCUCAACCAUAGUUCGCUUUGGAAACUGUCAAACUUGAGUGCAGAAGGGGAGAGUGGAAUUCCAUGUGUAGCGGUGAAAUGCGUAGAUAUAUGGAGGAACACCGGUGGCGAAAGCGGCUCUCUGGUCUGUAACUGACGCUGAGGCUCGAAAGCGUGGGGAGCGAACAGGAUUAGAUACCCUGGUAGUCCACGCCGUAAACGAUGAGUGCUAGGUGUUGGAUCCUUUCCGGGAUUCAGUGCCGCAGCUAACGCAUUAAGCACUCCGCCUGGGGAGUACGACCGCAAGGUUGAGACUCAAAGGAAUUGACGGGGGCCCGCACAAGCGGUGGAGCAUGUGGUUUAAUUCGAAGCAACGCGAAGAACCUUACCAGGUCUUGACAUCCCGAUGCUAUUUCUAGAGAUAGAAAGUUACUUCGGUACAUCGGUGACAGGUGGUGCAUGGUUGUCGUCAGCUCGUGUCGUGAGAUGUUGGGUUAAGUCCCGCAACGAGCGCAACCCCUAUUGUUAGUUGCCAUCAUUCAGUUGGGCACUCUAGCGAGACUGCCGGUAAUAAACCGGAGGAAGGUGGGGAUGACGUCAAAUCAUCAUGCCCCUUAUGACCUGGGCUACACACGUGCUACAAUGGUUGGUACAACGAGUUGCGAGUCGGUGACGGCGAGCUAAUCUCUUAAAGCCAAUCUCAGUUCGGAUUGUAGGCUGCAACUCGCCUACAUGAAGUCGGAAUCGCUAGUAAUCGCGGAUCAGCACGCCGCGGUGAAUACGUUCCCGGGCCUUGUACACACCGCCCGUCACACCACGAGAGUUUGUAACACCCGAAGUCGGUGAGGUAACCUUUUGGAGCCAGCCGCCUAAGGUGGGACAGAUGAUUGGGGUGAAGUCGUAACAAGGUA